Molecule: ribosomal RNA, 1259 nt
Filed under: metagenome
Description: bacterial SSU rRNA
Rfam family: Bacterial small subunit ribosomal RNA
Source: RNAcentral
CUUGUUGGUGAGGUAAAAGCUCACCAAGGCGACGAUCUGUAGCGGGUCUGAGAGGAUGAUCCGCCACACUGGAACUGAGACACGGUCCAGACUCCUACGGGAGGCAGCAGUGGGGAAUUUUGGACAAUGGGGCAACCCUGAUCCAGCCAUGCCGCGUGAGUGAGGAAGGCCUUCGGGUUGUAAAGCUCUUUCAGCCGGGAAGAAAACGCAUGGGUUAAUACCCUGUGUGGAUGACGGUACCGGAAUAAGAAGCACCGGCUAACUACGUGCCAGCAGCCGCGGUAAUACGUAGGGUGCGAGCGUUAAUCGGAAUUACUGGGCGUAAAGCGUGCGCAGGCGGUUUUGUAAGACAGGCGUGAAAUCCCCGGGCUAACCUGGGAACUGCGUUUGUGACUGCAAGGCUAGAGUACGGCAGAGGGGGGUGGAAUUCCACGUGUAGCAGUGAAAUGCGUAGAGAUGUGGAGGAACACCAAUGGCGAAGGCAGCCCCCUGGGUCGAUACUGACGCUCAUGCACGAAAGCGUGGGUAGCAAACAGGAUUAGAUACCCUGGUAGUCCACGCCCUAAACGAUGUCAACUAGGUGUUGGGAGGGUAAAACCUUUUAGUACCGGAGCUAACGCGUGAAGUUGACCGCCUGGGGAGUACGGCCGCAAGGUUAAAACUCAAAGGAAUUGACGGGGACCCGCACAAGCGGUGGAUGAUGUGGAUUAAUUCGAUGCAACGCGAAAAACCUUACCUACCCUUGACAUGCCAAGAACUUUCCAGAGAUGGAUUGGUGCCCGAAAGGGGACUUGGACACAGGUGCUGCAUGGCUGUCGUCAGCUCGUGUCGUGAGAUGUUGGGUUAAGUCCCGCAACGAGCGCAACCCUUGUCGUUAAUUGCCAUCAUUUAGUUGGGCACUUUAACGAGACUGCCGGUGACAAACCGGAGGAAGGUGGGGAUGACGUCAAGUCCUCAUGGCCCUUAUGGGUAGGGCUUCACACGUCAUACAAUGGUCGGUACAAAGGGUCGCCAAGCCGCGAGGUGGAGCCAAUCCCAGAAAGCCGAUCGUAGUCCGGAUCGCAGUCUGCAACUCGACUGCGUGAAGUCGGAAUCGCUAGUAAUCGUGGAUCAGAAUGUCACGGUGAAUACGUUCCCGGGUCUUGUACACACCGCCCGUCACACCAUGGGAGCGGGUUCCGCCAGAAGUAGGUAGCCUAACCGCAAGGAGGGCGCUUACCACGGCGGGGUUCGUGACUGGGGUGAAGUCGAACAAGGUA